GGCUGUUUGCGCUGCCUUUGUGUCCCUUCUGUCUGUUUCACAGAACCAUCUGCUUAAUCGUGGGCAUGAUACCUUGAUGCUUACCUGAAUCAGCAGUAAACAGGGACAGCAGCUACAGAAACACACCUGGUGGACACAGAGAGACAGCUGCCCAGCAGCUACCUCCAGCAUGUCAAACAAAAAUUUGCAUUUCUCUGUCAGGCCAGUCACCUGAUAAAAAGACACGUCGUUACAUGUCAGACGACGCUUCUGAGGAUGACUGCAGAUGCAGUCGAAACAUGUCAAGCCAUCCUCUGGAGUGAGGACAUGAGACUCCUGCCGGCCUCUUGGAGAGAGGGCGUGGACCUUCCCCCCCAGACUGCCGCUCCCCUGGAGCCUGACUUUCCCCUCCCUCACCUGUAGUGUGUUUGGCACAGAGGCUGCAGGUGGAAUGUGAUCCAGAUCCGUAAUCAGCAUCAGCUGAGGCAUGAGCAGGUUUAGCUCAUCCAAUCAAAACCCACCUCUGCUGCAAUAAAGUCAGACGCCACUCACCACUCAUUGCUGGCCUGUGAACGAUCUAUAUCUGGAUUCCACCUGCUUGUGCGCCGUGGUUUUCUGCCCACCUGGUCUUCCGAAUACCUGGCUGAACGACUCACCUGCAUUCCACUCACCUGGACCAUUAUCCUCCCUCAGCCACCUUCCCUGCCGUUUCACUGCAGGAGCCUGUUGUCACAGCCUCCGAACCCUGACGUCCUCACCACCAGCCACACACCGUGUCUGCUCCUGACCACACCAUCCUGGUGAGAAGAUUCCCCUGGUCCCUGUCCCUUCUGUAUAGUUCAGCUAAGUCCC
This is a long non-coding RNA of Amphiprion ocellaris (clown anemonefish), 831 nucleotides long. Lineage: Eukaryota; Metazoa; Chordata; Actinopteri; Pomacentridae. The record is from Ensembl.